CAUGCAGUCGAGCGGUAACAUUUCUAGCUUGCUAGAAGAUGACGAGCGGCGGACGGGUGAGUAAUACUUAGGAAUCUACCUAGUAGUGGGGGAUAGCACGGGGAAACUCGUAUUAAUACCGCAUACGACCUACGGGAGAAAGGGGGCAGUUUACUGCUCUCGCUAUUAGAUGAGCCUAAGUCGGAUUAGCUAGAUGGUGGGGUAAAGGCCUACCAUGGCGACGAUCUGUAGCUGGUCUGAGAGGAUGAUCAGCCACACCGGGACUGAGACACGGCCCGGACUCCUACGGGAGGCAGCAGUGGGGAAUAUUGGACAAUGGGGGAAACCCUGAUCCAGCCAUGCCGCGUGUGUGAAGAAGGCCUUUUGGUUGUAAAGCACUUUAAGCAGUGAAGAAGACUCCUCGGUUAAUACCCGUGGACGAUGACAUUAGCUGCAGAAUAAGCACCGGCUAACUCUGUGCCAGCAGCCGCGGUAAUACAGAGGGUGCAAGCGUUAAUCGGAAUUACUGGGCGUAAAGGGAGCGUAGGUGGCUCGAUAAGUCAGAUGUGAAAUCCCCGGGCUCAACCUGGGAACUGCAUCUGAUACUGUUGAGCUAGAGUAUGUGAGAGGAAGGUAGAAUUCCAGGUGUAGCGGUGAAAUGCGUAGAGAUCUGGAGGAAUACCGAUGGCGAAGGCAGCCUUCUGGCAUAAUACUGACACUGAGGCUCGAAAGCGUGGGUAGCAAACAGGAUUAGAUACCCUGGUAGUCCACGCCGUAAACGAUGUCUACUAGUCGUUGGGUCCCUUGAGGACUUAGUGACGCAGCUAACGCAAUAAGUAGACCGCCUGGGGAGUACGGCCGCAAGGUUAAAACUCAAAUGAAUUGACGGGGGCCCGCACAAGCGGUGGAGCAUGUGGUUUAAUUCGAUGCAACGCGAAGAACCUUACCUGGUCUUGACAUAUCUAGAAUCCUGCAGAGAUGCGGGAGUGCCUUCGGGAAUUAGAAUACAGGUGCUGCAUGGCUGUCGUCAGCUCGUGUCGUGAGAUGUUGGGUUAAGUCCCGCAACGAGCGCAACCCUUGUCCUUAGUUACCAGCGGGUUAAGCCGGGAACUCUAAGGAUACUGCCAGUGACAAACUGGAGGAAGGCGGGGACGACGUCAAGUCAUCAUGGCCCUUACGACCAGGGCUACACACGUGCUACAAUGGUAGGUACAGAGGGCAGCUACACAGCGAUGUGAUGCGAAUCUCAAAAAGCCUAUCGUAGUCCAGAUUGGAGUCUGCAACUCGACUCCAUGAAGUAGGAAUCGCUAGUAAUCGCGGAUCAGAAUGCCGCGGUGAAUACGUUCCCGGGCCUUGUACACACCGCCCGUCACACCAUGGGAGUUGAUUGCACCAGAAGUGGAUAGCUUAACCUCGGGAAGGC
This 1402-nucleotide ribosomal RNA is filed under the name Psychrobacter glacincola. RNAcentral describes it as "bacterial SSU rRNA". It matches the Rfam family "Bacterial small subunit ribosomal RNA". The record is from RNAcentral. Lineage: Bacteria; Pseudomonadati; Pseudomonadota; Gammaproteobacteria; Moraxellales; Moraxellaceae.